RNAcentral lists this long non-coding RNA (829 nucleotides) under Equus caballus (horse). RNAcentral's name for it is "lncRNA (ENSECAG00000045912.1)". Lineage: Eukaryota; Metazoa; Chordata; Mammalia; Perissodactyla; Equidae. The record is from RNAcentral.
GAGGUUACGAUGAGAAGAUGGCCAUCUGUGAACCAGGAAGCAGCUCCUCACCAGACACUGGACCUGCUGGCACCUUGACCUUGGACUUCCAGCCGCCAGACUGAAGAUUAACCUUGAGCUAACAUCUGUGCCCAUCUUCCUCUAUCGUGCAUGUGGGACGCCUGCCACAGCAUGGCUUGGACACUGAGGUCCUGCCCUGCAGGAAGGUACAGUGACAAUCACCCAGGGACUGCACGGACCAGAUUAUAAACUCUUGGAAGGCACAGUCAGUGUUUUGGACAAAUUUGUUUCCCCUGCUGAAUUGAACAUGUUGAAUGAAUGCAUAAGAAAAUAUUCACAGCUAGAGUGACCCCCCCAAAAAGGCUGAGCCCAUUUUUAUUUCCUAUUAGGAGAAGUGUUUGUUUCCCAAAUUUGAUUCUGAAGAGAUGAAGAAGUUUUAUGAAGAUGCUUGGGACAUUUGCACUUGACUAAACAUAUGAAAACGACGAACUCUGCUCACCAGGAGCAAAAAGGGGACAGAAAGGAGCUGGAGAGACUGUUCUUUGCAUGAUGAGGCCUGGCUUUGAGGACGGAGAGGAGAUGGCUGCUGGAGCUUGGGCUUGGGCAGGAGAGCAGAGAGCUGUCUCCUGCUCAGAACCACACAGAGCUGGAAACAGACUAGACCUGAGGAACCACGCUGCCCUAACUCUUCCUUUUGCAGAUGAAUAAACCAAGAUCCAGGGAGAUCGUCUUGCCCCAGAUCACUUAGCUGGACGGUGGCACAGCCUAGAUUGAAUAGUUCUCAAAUAAAGUAGUGAAUGAAGCAAUGUAUUAAAACCUUUCUGCAGAG